CUACGGGGGGCAGCAGUGGGGAAUAUUGCACAAUGGGCGCAAGCCUGAUGCAGCAACGCCGCGUGAACGAUGAAGGCCUUCGGGUUGUAAAGUUCUUUUCUUAGGGAAGAAUAAAUGACGGUACCUAAGGAAUCAGCCCCGGCUAACUACGUGCCAGCAGCCGCGGUAAUACGUAGGGGGCAAGCGUUAUCCGGAAUCACUGGGCGUAAAGGGAGUGUAGGCGGUCAAGCAAGUCAGGGGUGAAAGGCAUCGGCUAAACCGAUGUAAGCCUUUGAAACUGUUUGACUUGAGUGCAGGAGAGGUAAGUGGAAUUCCUAGUGUAGCGGUGAAAUGCGUAGAUAUUAGGAGGAACACCAGUGGCGAAGGCGACUUACUGGACUGUAACUGACGCUGAGGCUCGAAAGCGUGGGGAGCGAACAGGAUUAGAUACCCUCGUAGUC
This 440-nucleotide ribosomal RNA is filed under the name uncultured bacterium. RNAcentral describes it as "partial 16S ribosomal RNA". It matches the Rfam family "Bacterial small subunit ribosomal RNA", at positions 339 to 795 of the family's 1533-position model. The record is from RNAcentral.